UACGAAGGGAGCUAGCGUUGUUCGGAUUUAUUGGGUUUAAAGGGUGCGUAGGCGGUUUUAUAAGUCAGUGGUGAAAUACAACAGCUUAACUGUUGAGGUGCCAUUGAUACUGUAAGACUUGAGUACAGACGAGGUAGGCGGAAUUGACGGUGUAGCGGUGAAAUGCUUAGAUAUCGUCAAGAACACCGAUAGCGAAGGCAGCUUACUAGACUGUAACUGACGCUGAGGCACGAAAGUGUGGGGAUCAAACAGG
This 253-nucleotide ribosomal RNA is filed under the name uncultured bacterium. Its description in RNAcentral is "partial 16S ribosomal RNA". It matches the Rfam family "Bacterial small subunit ribosomal RNA", at positions 524 to 776 of the family's 1533-position model. The record is from RNAcentral.